Long non-coding RNA from Heterocephalus glaber (naked mole-rat), 3071 nucleotides. The record is from Ensembl. NCBI's taxonomy places the organism in Eukaryota, Metazoa, Chordata, Mammalia, Rodentia, Bathyergidae.
AUAUCAUGUUUAGGUACAAAUUCCCCAUGACAAAUGUGAUCAUUGUAUUAAUAAAAAUGUUUUUGUCAACUAAGUUUCCUGGUUCCAUUAAUACUGUGCUUCUCCCAACUAUCUGUUGCUGCUGCUUGACUCUAAGAAAACCAAUGGCCCCUAAGUGAUUUGAGUGAAGAGACAUUUGGACCAAAGGUGACAGGGUUCACAGAGGGUCUUGAGGGGAUGAACCUCAAGAAUGGCAAAUGAGCUCCGAUUCAGCAAGGUCAGAGACUCUUUUAAUGUUUGAGGAUGAAUUUUCCCACAAAAGUAACAUUUCUUAUAAUAAAACUAAGACAUCAUAAUAAGGUAUAAAAUAGAAAUUAUUUUAAACAUCGUAUUAGCCAUAUUACAUCAAAGCAGAACUUUUAGUAAUUUGAUGGGAUCUGCUUGUCUUUUAUUCUUCCCUGAAGACAGGCUUUGGAGUUUAACCUUUUUCUUUUUUAAUGCAGAAUCCAGUUGAAAAAAUAAUUUUGAUUUCUGCUUUAUUUUCCAUCCAAGUAUAUGAUAAUAUAUUGUUACCAAGCAGACUUCAUGAAUACCCACUUACUCAUUCAGAUAAUAUUUGGCAGGUAUUUCCUCUCUUGGUAGAAAUGGUGGCCCUGGAUUUCUACAAUAAUCAUGACAAAAACUGACGAAAAUCCCUCUUCUGUAGGACAAUGCACCAUAACUUGGGAAUAAAGAGUGUGGCUUCAAGCAGAAAACUGCAGCAGAAACCUGUCCAAAAACUGCUCCCCUGUGGCUUAUUCUCAUCAGAAGAGAAAUGUAACCAGUAUAUCCCCUCCUGGACGCCACAUGAAAGUACUUGGAAUUACCCAACUUCUGUUCAUCAAAAACAUAAUAGCAACAUGAAAAGGAAAUCCAAAAUUAGAAUAUGAAAUAUAUUAUAUGUUAAACAUGUAUAUAAUAUUAAAUCUGUUCUUCUAGUGAACUCUAAUUGAUACAAAUUCAAUGGAAAAAUACAAUCCAAUAAUAAGACAAUACCAACCAAACGUAUCUCACAAAAGAUGAAGGACAUAUGACCAUUGAAAUAUGAAAAUACUUUCAACCUUUAAAUCUUCAAAAUAAUAUCUUAUUAAUGAAAUUAAUGAAAAAUGCAAAUUUAGACUAGAGUCACAUUCUCAUUAGACUGACAAAACUUAAGUCUGGUAGCAAAAUUAUAGUAGAGAAUGGGGAUCAACAGUAAUUGUCUCUUGAUGCAGCUAACAAAUUUUUAAAGGACUAAUGUAGUAUUGUAAACUGAAACAUUCAAAUUUGUAUUAAAAUGAAAUAUCUUACAGUAAAGAAAAUGAAAAAAUACACUCUUCAUAACAUAAUUUUGAGAGAAAAAAAGCAAGUCCAAGGGGUGCAGAUUAAACAUAAAACUAGGUAAAAUUCAAAACCAAGAAAAGAAAAUAAUGCAUUAUUCUAUUUUAGCUAAAUAAUACACCAUUAUAAUAUACAAAAUAGAGCUACUGAAAAGAAAACUCAUGGGAGUGAUUCACAAACCAUUCAAUAUACCAUUACAACUGGAUUACAAAAACAGUAGAUGAAAAAAGAACUUCUGGCAUAUGGAUGUUGUUGGUAAUGUUCCAGUGCUUUGAAUGUUUGAGCUCUUGGGUUAGGAGUAAGUUUGUAGGUAUUUAUUAUAUACUUGUUAUUCUUUAAAACUUUCAUAUAUUACAUAUAAUUCAUAUUAUGUAUAUCAAAUAUGGUAUGAAAAUAUAAUAACAUUUUAAAAUUCAGAAAUUCUCGGUAGACUUCCAGUUUUAUAUUUCAUGAGAUAGGCUGGUCUCUUAGGGUCAUAUCAACAGGUGAACUUAGAACAUAGUUGUGGUGGGGCCAGGGAUUUAGCUCAGUGGCACUGUGUGUGCCUCCCAAGUGAGAUUCCCCGUACCAAAACCAAAAAAAAAAAAAGAACAUAGUUGUGGUGGUUAGGAUGGAAUAUCAACUUGGAUUGGCUUUGGGGUCUGCCCUGGGGAUUGGUGGAGCACACUUGUAGGUGUGUCUGUGUGGGUAGUGAGACAUGAGCUUGGGAGUCUAGAUCUGACCCUUGCCACUUCUGCUCUGUCCCUCCUCUCUGGCUCUGCUUUCUGGGAGACGUGAGCUAAACAGCUUGCUCUACCAUACCUUCUGCUGUGAUGUUUCUGCCUUGGAACCAGCCAGCCACAGACCCAUACAAUGAGCCAAAUUACCCUUCUCCUCCUGGAAGAUGUGGGUGUCAGGUAGCGUGUCUGGCAUUGGGACAGCUGACAUAUACAAUGGUGAAUGUGAAAUUGGAACAUUUAGUUUCAUAAACAAACACAUUCUGUUCAUAAAACUCAGUCUUUGCUACCUCAUUAUCUAUGUGGCCAUGAUCAACUUACCACUACCUUUCAGUAUCAGAAACGACAUAUGUUCAACUUAAUUCACAGGGUUUUGGUAAAAGCCAAAUGACAUAAUAUAAGUGAGUAUCCUUUGUAAACUCCAAAUACUGCAAACACACCAGGAAUUGUAUUCUUAGGUGUAUUCUUUGGUGAAACAAAAAUCUUUAUUUUUGCAAUUUCAUAUAUACAAUUCCUUGAGUAGGUCCCUUUCUCUGAUUUCAGGUAUAAUCUUGCUUCAGUGUCUGUUUUUCAGAAUAUUAUGCAGACUCAGCAUUGAGAAUUUAAUAUUAGAAAAUUGAGAAACAAGGCAUCACAACACAGUAUAGAAGGUAUGAUUAACAUAUAUGGUAAAUAUUUAAAAAAUAAUUAUUGCAGUAAAAGACAUUGCCAUGAAUUCCUCUCAAAAUAUUCCCCCUUACUCUGAACACACAUAUUCUAUCAUUCUUGGCCACUUUCUCUACCAUUUCUGGAAGUCUUGUUUUGUGAAUGCAUUUAUGAAGUGUAAUUAAAAAUGUUUAACACUGCUGCCAGCCGAGUGCCAUCCCAUGGAAAGGCAGGCUCAUGAAACCAUGGUGGUGUGCUCUUUUCCACCUUAUUCAUCAUGCAAAUUCUGGCUCUUUCCCUGAGUCAAAGCAGUCAUGAAAGGUAAAUAUUUUGAAUCAAUUCAGGAGAUCAAGGCAGCCAUGACAGCACAAG